AUUGCUUCUCUGCCUUUUGGCUAAGAUCAAGGUAGUAUCUGUUCUUAUCAGUUUAAUAUCUGAUACAUCCCUCAGCGGGGGACUACAUUUUUUUUGGGACAGUAG
Molecule: small nuclear RNA, 105 nt
Gene: U2
Rfam family: U2 spliceosomal RNA
About the family: U2 is a small nuclear RNA (snRNA) component of the spliceosome (involved in pre-mRNA splicing). Complementary binding between U2 snRNA (in an area lying towards the 5' end but 3' to hairpin I) and the branchpoint sequence (BPS) of the intron results the bulging out of an unpaired adenosine, on the BPS, which initiates a nucleophilic attack at the intronic 5' splice site, thus starting the first of two transesterification reactions that mediate splicing.
Source: Ensembl